Cavia porcellus (domestic guinea pig) is the source of this 1239-nucleotide long non-coding RNA. RefSeq lists it as uncharacterized. The record is from RefSeq and is a predicted model, not a curated record. The transcript is spliced from 2 exons. NCBI's taxonomy places the organism in Eukaryota, Metazoa, Chordata, Mammalia, Rodentia, Caviidae.
CGGAUUCUCUCGACUUGCUUCCAUCUCUCUUUGUCUCCCCUAUGUCUUUAUUUAAUCCCCAUUCCUCCUCCAGGUACACCCCACGGAUUGAUCCGCAGGCUGGAUCAAGUGGCGCCCAGUGUGGGGGCUCCUGGCACGGAGGAGUCAACAAGGGAGCCGCGAGAUAGCCAGCUGAAAGUGAAAGCAAAUUGAACCAAAGACCAUGGUGAGGAGUGAGCAAACUAAAUCAAGGAUUAAAGCUAAAAGCAAAAGGACAUUAAAUCAAGUACCGAGGCCUGCACGGACAACUACCCAACGUCCUGCCUGAGUCACAUGACACAACCCCCUGGAGCCUUAUGCUGCCUACUCAGCCUUUUCCUUGAGCCGUACCACACCCAUGGUGGAUUUAGACCCUUCCCCCUGUGACUGCGGAAGAGGCUCUUCUUGGUCUGGAGGAACAUAAACCAGCCAAAUAGACUGCGUCCGGUGUUAUGCGAGGCAAGCUCCAAGACAUAGCAGAACAACUUCAACAGAGACACAACAAAAGGCUGCCAACCCCUUCUCCUUGAUAUGUGUGUGGUGGGGGGAGCUUUUCCCUUACCUAGCGCCCUGUUUGGGUCCACUAGCUGCCCUAUUGCUUCUCCUUUCUGUGAGUCCUUGUAUUUUUCAGAGGAUUAUGAUGUUCAUUAAUAACCAGAUAGACGCGUUUAUGGCAAAGCCCAUUCAGGUACACUAUCAUCAGCUGGAGAUGGCAGAUCAACAAACCUACCGGGAAGGAAUUCCCAUGAGUGGCCCAUAUGAUGAUGCAGCCUAACUGCCCUGGGGCAAUGGACAGGCAGUGAGAGACGGGCAACUAGGACAUGCAUGUUAAUUCCAACGGCCACCUAAGACAGGCACAGGACCAACUGCUGUUCUGCAAGCCCAUGACGGGUAAGGCCUGGUUGGGUUCAUGCAAUGAGGUCCUUGACCUAAGACAGAUGCUGUCUGGCAGGGCCUGCUAUACUCCUGAUUAAAUAAUAGAGAAAGGGAGGAGAUGUAGGGAGCCGAGCAACAGCCCCAUUGCUGCCUCCCUGCCUCUCUCUCUCCUAUGGGCACUGCAUCUGCCUACAUUAACCAUAAUCCUCUCCUGCUUACAUCACAUACCCGGACGUGACGAUGACCCUGUUGUAUUCACCUCUGUAGCCUCUUUCUGUCCCACCUCCCACCCUUGGCCUAUAAAAGAUGUAAUCACUUCCGGAAUAAACAGGGGGCUUGAUCAGA